CCAAAUCCAUUACUUCUUUGCCCUCAGGAAACCUAGACGUCCCUCACAAUCAAUCGGAAGAGUGAAUAUCAAGCACACAAAACGUCCAAUUUCAUUCAUGACUGAAAGAGCCUGCAUAACCCCCAUUAAAUAGUCCUCUCAAAUCCCCCCUGCAGGUCCAGGUUUCCGCGACAGUGACUACGCGCAGGUUCCCCACCUCACUAAGCCUCUUUAUUGAAGUUAAAAAAUUUCAAAGAUCCCAAUCAAAGAAAAUCAACAACCCCUUCAAAGAUCCCAAUCAGAUUAUUGAUGUAUGUUGUUUGAGUAAUUUUAGUGAUUUUUUGCAAGUUCUUCGUAUUCUGUUUAUAAUCAAUAGGCAUCUGGGUGUGUCAAGAAUUCCUUGCAUCAGUGGUUGUUGUAUCAAAGAUUCUACCUUCUCACCAACACAAACAACGAUAAUUCCUUUAAGCUUUCAUCAAUGGCGCUUCAACAUCUGCUGAUGUCAUAUAAACAAGAAAGAGGUUGAGCUAGAUAGAUACUGAUUCCUAAUGGCAGCAGUUUUACCCAACGGUCGUGUACAUGCCUGGACCAAGUUUUUGGAUGUGCGGAAUUCAUUUGCUCAAUUUUAAGUCGAAACAUUGAUAACCAAGGUGUUCCAGGGAGUCCGGCCGGUGGGAGUCAUGAAAGCGGUUGUGAACACUCGAAUUCCAACAUCCGAGAGCAGGAUAGGAGCUAACAUAAGCCAUCAGUUUGUGAGUUCAUCAGUUUCGUCACAAGCGAGUACAUAUGUCUGUUUCAUCACCAGCGAGUAUGUGCAUAUGGAUAGAUAUAAUAACAUAAAAAAGACGGGUGGGUUUUUUAUCGCCUAUUCAUCAGUAUUAAAUUAUACUCUUUACAUUAUUAUUAUGCAAUCUAAUAUCCACAAACUGUCAAAGAGGUAAUAUAUUUAUGGAUUCUGAGAUUCUUUUUCACAAAUGUCUAAAAUGGUUCUAAUGUAUGUUUUGUUUUCCUUGGUAAAUAGGCUUUGACUUAUUCAGUUGACUUAAACAUCUAACAUGGCUUGAAGUACUUAACUUUUGUCUGCUGGUUUUGGAUUCGUGUUGAAAAGAGUAAAGCCAAACACCGUGCUUGCCUGAAAAUGAUGAGGUGUUGGUUAUCAAAAGUUGGGCAUAAAAAUGGAAGGUCGAGGCACUAAAAAAGCCGGGGUAGUCAUCUACCUUUAAAAGCCUUCCUGGUACAUGCAUGGAAUCUUAACGAGCAUGAAGUUCUUCGCAGCUGCUCCUUUGCUCAUACCGUAGUCAUGGUUAAUAUCUUGCCAAAAAUCUUGUAUAAAUUGCAUUUGUACUCCGGUUCAUAAAAUGAUUUGAUUGGCUGCAAAUGGUCUCAACAACGAAUUAUAAAAAGUUGAAAACAUAUGGAUUAUGGAUUAGUCCGAAUGCAUUUGGGUGUUUGACCCAUGUGACACGUUUCUUUUUUUCUUUUGGGGUUUGUGGUCAAAAGUUACAAAUUAUUUUAGUUGAUUUGUGUUAGCUCUC
Molecule: long non-coding RNA, 1514 nt
Filed under: Helianthus annuus (common sunflower)
Lineage: Eukaryota; Viridiplantae; Streptophyta; Magnoliopsida; Asterales; Asteraceae
Source: RNAcentral